RNAcentral lists this transfer RNA (71 nucleotides) under Camelus bactrianus (Bactrian camel). It matches the Rfam family "tRNA". From Rfam's summary of the family: Transfer RNA (tRNA) molecules are approximately 80 nucleotides in length. RNAcentral also lists the same sequence under 3 other names. The record is from Rfam by way of RNAcentral. Lineage: Eukaryota; Metazoa; Chordata; Mammalia; Artiodactyla; Camelidae.
GAGGGUAUAGUUCAGUGGUAGAGUACAUGCUUAGCACGUACAAGGCCCUGAGUUCAAUUCCCAGUACCUCA